CGGGGUGUGGCUCAGCUUGGCUAGAGCGCUUGAUUUGGGAUCAAGAGGUCGCAGGUUCGAAUCCUGUCACCCCGAUCA
Molecule: transfer RNA, 78 nt
Filed under: Eubacterium sp. 36_13
Lineage: Bacteria; Bacillati; Bacillota; Clostridia; Eubacteriales; Eubacteriaceae
Description: tRNA-Pro
Rfam family: tRNA
About the family: Transfer RNA (tRNA) molecules are approximately 80 nucleotides in length. Their secondary structure includes four short double-helical elements and three loops (D, anti-codon, and T loops).
Source: RNAcentral